GCCGCCGUGGUGAAAUGGUAGACACUGCAGAUUUAAAAUCUGUUGCUCGCGAGGGCGUACCGGUUCGAGUCCGGUCGGCGGUA
This 83-nucleotide transfer RNA is filed under the name Akkermansiaceae bacterium. It matches the Rfam family "tRNA". From Rfam's summary of the family: Transfer RNA (tRNA) molecules are approximately 80 nucleotides in length. Their secondary structure includes four short double-helical elements and three loops (D, anti-codon, and T loops). Further hydrogen bonds mediate the characteristic L-shaped molecular structure. tRNAs have two regions of fundamental functional importance: the anti-codon, which is responsible for specific mRNA codon recognition, and the 3' end, to which the tRNAs corresponding amino acid is attached (by aminoacyl-tRNA synthetases). tRNAs cope with the degeneracy of the genetic code in two manners: having more than one tRNA (with a specific anti-codon) for a particular amino acid; and 'wobble' base-pairing, i.e. permitting non-standard base-pairing at the 3rd anti-codon position. The record is from Rfam by way of RNAcentral. Lineage: Bacteria; Pseudomonadati; Verrucomicrobiota; Verrucomicrobiia; Verrucomicrobiales; Akkermansiaceae.